This 480-nucleotide ribosomal RNA is filed under the name uncultured bacterium. RNAcentral describes it as "partial 16S ribosomal RNA". It matches the Rfam family "Bacterial small subunit ribosomal RNA", at positions 28 to 507 of the family's 1533-position model. The record is from RNAcentral.
GAUGAACGCUAGCGGCAGGCCUAACACAUGCAAGUCGAGGGGGAAGUUACUUUAGGGUGACUGAGACCGGCGUACGGGUGCGUAACGCGUAUACAAUCUGCCUUUCACUGGGGGAUAGCCCGAAGAAAUUUGGAUUAAUACCCCAUAGUAUAUAGGGACGGCAUCGUUUUUAUAUUAAAGCUUAGGUGGUGAAAGAUGAGUAUGCGUUCUAUUAGCUAGUUGGAGAGGUAACGGCUCCCCAAGGCGAUGAUAGAUAGGGGUUCUGAGAGGGAUGUCCCCCACACUGGUACUGAGAUACGGACCAGACUCCUACGGGAGGCAGCAGUGAGGAAUAUUGGACAAUGGUCGGAAGACUGAUCCAGCCAUGCCGCGUGCAGGAUGAAGGUCUUAUGGAUUGUAAACUGCUUUUGUAAGGGAAGAAUAAGGGCUACGCGUAGUUUGAUGACGGUACCUUACGAAUAAGCAUCGGCUAACUCCGUG